RNAcentral lists this long non-coding RNA (943 nucleotides) under Sorghum bicolor (sorghum). RNAcentral describes it as "long non-coding RNA (SBIC_LNC009427)". Lineage: Eukaryota; Viridiplantae; Streptophyta; Magnoliopsida; Poales; Poaceae. The record is from RNAcentral.
GUUCCCUUUGUGGUUACAGUCCUCCAUCUUGUGAAAGUGAGUGAUCACAUUAUUAAUUGAAAUUAUGGCUACAAAUUCUUGUUCCACGAAGCACACGAUACAAUCAUUUAUAAAUACAUCUCUAAUAAGAUUUUAUAGUAUUGACCGAUGCAGUGGCAACGUGAAGCACUAGUACUAGCUUGAGAAGCCAAUACAUAUGGCACUCCAAAAUUUCUAUUUUAGAAUGUUAUUAGGAAACACUAAAAUAAAAUGAAGGAUGUGAAAUUUUUAUAAAAAAUAUUCCAAGAUUUAAUUAAUUGUUUUCAUUUAAAAAAGAGAAAAAUGUAGAAUUUUAAAACUUUUUGUAACACCCAAAAAUCUGUUUUAAAUUAAAAGGGAUUAAUUUGAUUUAAUUAAGCAUUUUUGUGCGCAUUUAAAUUUAGCACUUAAAUAAUUUUUUGUCAAAAUUAAAAUUUAUCAUAAGAUUAGAAACUUGUUUAUGCAUUCAUGCUGAAGAAUAUUUUAUUUUGUAUUGUUUGCCUCUAGCUUGAAUUUAUUUGCAUUCAAAAUUUUAUUUGGAAAAGAAAACAGAAAGUAAAAUAAAAAAAAGAGAAAAACCCCAGCCAGCCCAGCUGUCCCCCUGGCCUUCCCGGCCCAGCUCCCCUCUCCCCCUUCCCUUUUUCUCCCCCGCGCCCCGGCCCACUUCUUUCUUCUCGGCCCAGCAGCGCGCGCCUCCCUUCCCCUCUUCUCUCUCUGACCCGCAGGCCCCGCCCCCUUCUCUCACUGCGACACGGGACCCACGCGUCAGUGCCCGUCUCCCUCCCCCAGCCGUGAACAAACGGGACUCAGGCCGAGCACAGCGCUGCCGAAUCCAAUUCCUGGGAUUCGCGAUUUCCUUGCCGUUUUGCGCGAACCGAGGCCCUAUAAAGUACCCCGCGAUGCCCUGAGUCGUGUUUUUGCAUCU